ACUCAAAUGAAUUGACGGGGACUCGCACAAGCGGUGGAUCAUGUGGCUUAAUUCGAUGCUAAGCGAAAAACCUUACCAGGGCUAGAAACCAAGCUGCACGCCUCCAGAAACGGAGGAAGCCUUCGAGGGUGCUUGGCAGGUGAUGCAUGGUUGUCGUCAGUUCGUGGCUUGAGCUGUUCCCUUCAGUGGGGUAACGAACGCAACCCUCGUUGUCUGUUAUAUAUGUCAGGCGAGACUGCCCCCUCACGGGGGAGGAAGGUGGGGAUGACGCCAAAUCAGCAUGUCCCUUGAUGCCCUGGGCUGCACACGUGAUACAAUGGCCGGUACAGAAGGAAGCAAUACCGUAAGGUGGAGCAAAUCCCAAAAACCGGCCCCAGUACGGAUAGAGGUCUGCAACGACCUCUUGAAGCCGGAAUCGCUAGUAAUCGUGGGUCAGCACACCACGGUGAAUACGUUCUCGAGUCUUGUACACACCGCCCGU
RNAcentral lists this ribosomal RNA (481 nucleotides) under uncultured bacterium. RNAcentral describes it as "partial 16S ribosomal RNA". It matches the Rfam family "Bacterial small subunit ribosomal RNA", at positions 899 to 1397 of the family's 1533-position model. The record is from RNAcentral.